UUUGUACCUGACUAGAAAUCAUAUAUUUUGAUUCCUGGUCCAGUAAUCUUAAACUAGCAAUAUUUUCUAUAUAAAAAUACUCCUUCACUUACAGGUUAUGGUGGUGAUGUUGAUGAUGAUGAUGACGGAGAUAAUGAUGAUUGCAAGCCACAGAAGAUGAAACUAACUUUAAAAAAUAAAAUACUAUAACAGGGCCUUGUGUGGCUUGAUCUUUCCAGCUGCCAAAGGAGGACCACCUGUGAUGUACCAUCUUGCCCAGAGAAACCAGGAACCCUACUCAAUGGAAAAUGCAAAGCACUCUUAUGUAGACCUCAGAUAGACUGAAACCAAAAAUAGAGAAUAUAAAAAACCUUGAGAGUCAGCAUAACGUUAUUGUUCACUACUCUAGUCAUACCCCUGAGCAUAUUUCAUCCUCAAACAACACAAAUUUGAACUGUCGGUUCCAUGUACACAAGGAUUUUCUUCAGUAA
Molecule: long non-coding RNA, 470 nt
Filed under: Callithrix jacchus (white-tufted-ear marmoset)
Lineage: Eukaryota; Metazoa; Chordata; Mammalia; Primates; Cebidae
Description: lncRNA (ENSCJAG00000085654.1)
Source: RNAcentral